AGAGUUUGAUCCUGGCUCAGGAUGAACGCUGGCGGCGUGCUUAACACAUGCAAGUCGAACGCACCUUCGGGUGAGUGGCGGACGGGUGAGUAACGCGUGGGAAUCUGCCCUUAGGAGGGGGAUAACGGCUGGAAACGGCCGCUAAUACCCCAUAUGCCGAGAGGUGAAACGAAUUUCGCCUGAGGAUGAGCCCGCGUCUGAUUAGCUAGUUGGUGGGGUAAGAGCCCACCAAGGCGACGAUCAGUAGCUGGUCUGAGAGGAUGAUCAGCCACACUGGGACUGAGACACGGCCCAGACUCCUACGGGAGGCAGCAGUGGGGAAUUUUCCGCAAUGGGCGAAAGCCUGACGGAGCAACGCCGCGUGAGGGAUGAAGGCCUCUGGGCUGUAAACCUCUUUUCUCAAGGAAGAAGACAUGACGGUACUUGAGGAAUAAGCCACGGCUAAUUCCGUGCCAGCAGCCGCGGUAAUACGGGGUGGCAAGCGUUAUCCGGAAUUAUUGGGCGUAAAGCGUCCGCAGGCGGCUCUGUAAGUCUGUUGUUAAAGCGUGGAGCUCAACUCCAUUUCAGCAAUGGAAACUACAGGGCUUGAGUGUGGUAGGGGCAGAGGGAAUUCCCGGUGUAGCGGUGAAAUGCGUAGAUAUCGGGAAGAACACCAGUGGCGAAGGCGCUCUGCUGGGCCAUAACUGACGCUCAUGGACGAAAGCCAGGGGAGCGAAAGGGAUUAGAUACCCCUGUAGUCCUGGCCGUAAACGAUGAACACUAGGUGUCGGGGGAAUCGACCCCCUCGGUGUCGUAGCCAACGCGUUAAGUGUUCCGCCUGGGGAGUACGCACGCAAGUGUGAAACUCAAAGGAAUUGACGGGGGCCCGCACAAGCGGUGGAGUAUGUGGUUUAAUUCGAUGCAACGCGAAGAACCUUACCAGGGUUUGACAUCCUGCGAAUCCCUUGGAAACUUGGGAGUGCCUUCGGGAGCGCAGAGACAGGUGGUGCAUGGCUGUCGUCAGCUCGUGUCGUGAGAUGUUGGGUUAAGUCCCGCAACGAGCGCAACCCACGUCUUUAGUUGCCAGCAUUCAGUUGGGCACUCUAGAGAGACCGCCGGUGAUAAACCGGAGGAAGGUGUGGAUGACGUCAAGUCAUCAUGCCCCUUACAUCCUGGGCUACACACGUACUACAAUGCUACGGACAGAGGGCAGCAAGCUCGCGAGAGUUAGCAAAUCCCAUAAACCGUGGCUCAGUUCAGAUCGUAGGCUGCAACUCGCCUACGUGAAGGAGGAAUCGCUAGUAAUCGCAGGUCAGCAUACUGCGGUGAAUACGUUCCCGGGCCUUGUACACACCGCCCGUCACACCAUGGAAGUUGGCCAUGCCCGAAGUCGUUACUCCAACCCUUGUGGAGGAGGACGCCGAAGGUGGGGCUGAUGACUGGGGUGAAGUCGGAACAAGGUA
Molecule: ribosomal RNA, 1442 nt
Filed under: metagenome
Description: bacterial SSU rRNA
Rfam family: Bacterial small subunit ribosomal RNA
Source: RNAcentral